This 464-nucleotide ribosomal RNA is filed under the name uncultured Alphaproteobacteria bacterium. RNAcentral describes it as "bacterial SSU rRNA". It matches the Rfam family "Bacterial small subunit ribosomal RNA", at positions 9 to 521 of the family's 1533-position model. The record is from RNAcentral. Lineage: Bacteria; Pseudomonadati; Pseudomonadota; Alphaproteobacteria.
GAGUUUGAUCUUGGCUCAGAACGAACGCUGGCGGCAGGCUUAACACAUGCAAGUCGAACGCCCCGCAAGGGGAGUGGCAGACGGGUGAGUAACACGUGGGAAUGUACCCCAAGUACGGAUAUUCUCGGGAAACUGAGGGCAAUACCGUAUGUGACCGAAAGGUGAAAGAUUUAUCGCCUUGGGAUCAGCCCGCGUUGGAUUAGCCAGUUGGUGGGGUAAAAGCCUACCAAGGCGACGAUCCAUAGCUGGUCUGAGAGGACGACCAGCCACACUGGGACUGAGACACGGCCCAGACUCCUACGGGAGGCAGCAGUGGGGGAAUCUUGGACAAUGGGCGCAAGCCUGAUCCAGCCAUGCCGCGUGAGUGAUGAAGGCCUUAGGGUUGUAAAAACUCUUUCGUCAGGGACGAUAAUGACGGUACCUGAAGAAGAAGCCCCGGCUAACUUCGUGCCAGCAGCCGCGGU